Molecule: ribosomal RNA, 468 nt
Filed under: uncultured bacterium
Lineage: Bacteria
Description: partial 16S ribosomal RNA
Rfam family: Bacterial small subunit ribosomal RNA
Source: RNAcentral
GACGAACGCUGGCGGCGUGCCUAACACAUGCAAGUCGAACGGAAACGCCGUGCUUUUUUGCGGUGCUCGGGUGGCGAACGGGUGAGUAACACGUGAGUAACCUGCCCUUCACUUUGGGGUAACUUCAGGAAACUGGGGCUAAUCCCGGAUAGGAUCUCCUGCUGCAUGGUGGGGGUUGGAAAGUUUCGGCGGUUGGGGAUGGACUGGCGGCUAACCGGCUUGUUGGUUGGGUAGUGGCUUACCAAGGCUUAGACGGGUAGGCGGCCUGGGAGGGUGACCGGCCACAAGAGGCCUGAGAUACGGAGCAGUCUCGUACAGUAGGCAACGGUGGGGAGUAUGGUACAAUGGGAGCGAGCCUGAUGAAGAAGCGCCGGGUGCGGGAAGCCGGCUUGCGGGGAGAGAACCGCUGCAGCUUGAGACGAAGCGUGAGUGACGGUACCGGGAGAAGAAGCACCGGCUAACUACGUG